RNAcentral lists this transfer RNA (74 nucleotides) under Caudoviricetes sp. RNAcentral describes it as "tRNA-Gly". It matches the Rfam family "tRNA". Rfam says of the family: Transfer RNA (tRNA) molecules are approximately 80 nucleotides in length. Their secondary structure includes four short double-helical elements and three loops (D, anti-codon, and T loops). Further hydrogen bonds mediate the characteristic L-shaped molecular structure. tRNAs have two regions of fundamental functional importance: the anti-codon, which is responsible for specific mRNA codon recognition, and the 3' end, to which the tRNAs corresponding amino acid is attached (by aminoacyl-tRNA synthetases). tRNAs cope with the degeneracy of the genetic code in two manners: having more than one tRNA (with a specific anti-codon) for a particular amino acid; and 'wobble' base-pairing, i.e. permitting non-standard base-pairing at the 3rd anti-codon position. The record is from RNAcentral. Lineage: Duplodnaviria; Heunggongvirae; Uroviricota; Caudoviricetes.
GCGGCUGUGUUGUAACGGCAGCAAAUCAGCUUCCCAAGCUGAGAGUGCGGGUUCGAUUCCCGUCAGUCGCUCCA